UACGGGGGGGGCAAGCGUUGUUCGGAAUUACUGGGCGUAAAGGGCUCGUAGGUGGCCAACUAAGUCAGACGUGAAAUCCCUCGGCUUAACUGAGGACGUGCGGAAGAAACUGCAAGGCUCGAGUCCGGGAGAGGGGGGUGGAAUUCCCAGUGUAGCGGUGAAAUGCGUAGAUAUUGGGAGGAACACCGGUGGCGAAGGCGGCCCCCUGGACCGGUACUGACGCUGAGGCGCGAAAGCGUGGGUAGCAAACGGG
This 253-nucleotide ribosomal RNA is filed under the name uncultured bacterium. RNAcentral describes it as "partial 16S ribosomal RNA". It matches the Rfam family "Bacterial small subunit ribosomal RNA", at positions 524 to 776 of the family's 1533-position model. The record is from RNAcentral.